RNAcentral lists this transfer RNA (69 nucleotides) under Amarygmini sp. ACP-2013. RNAcentral's name for it is "tRNA-Ser". Lineage: Eukaryota; Metazoa; Arthropoda; Insecta; Coleoptera; Tenebrionidae. The record is from RNAcentral.
UAACUAAUGAACUUGAAUAAGUAUAUAUUUUGAAAAUAUAAGAAAGAGUUAAUUAAAUCUCUAUUAGUU